CUGGGCUACACGGUGCUACAUGGUUGGUACACGAGUCGCAAGCCGGUGACGGCAAGCUAAUCUCUUAAAGCCAAUCUCAGUUCGGAUUGUAGGCUGCAACUCGCCUACAUGAAGUCGGAAUCGCUAGUAAUCGCGGAUCAGCACGCCGCGGUGAAUACGUUCCCGGGCCUUGUACACACCGCCCGUCACACCACGAGAGUUUGUAACACCCAAGUCGGUGAGGUAACCUAUUAGGAGCCAGCCGCCUAAGGUGGGAUAAAUGGGGUGAAUCUUUACAAAGGCCCUAUCGGAAAGUGCGGUUGU
RNAcentral lists this ribosomal RNA (303 nucleotides) under uncultured Streptococcus sp. RNAcentral describes it as "bacterial SSU rRNA". It matches the Rfam family "Bacterial small subunit ribosomal RNA", at positions 1209 to 1520 of the family's 1533-position model. The record is from RNAcentral. Lineage: Bacteria; Bacillati; Bacillota; Bacilli; Lactobacillales; Streptococcaceae.